Molecule: long non-coding RNA, 2109 nt
Filed under: Oncorhynchus kisutch (coho salmon)
Lineage: Eukaryota; Metazoa; Chordata; Actinopteri; Salmoniformes; Salmonidae
Description: lncRNA (ENSOKIG00005026867.1)
Source: RNAcentral
GUGUUUGUAAACUUCUGACUUUAAUCAUAUCUGUAUUCUCAGUCAUGUGAAAUCCAUAGAUUAGGGUCUAAUUCAUUUAGAACAGUUGACUGAUUUCUUUAUAUGAACUGUGACUCAGUCAAAUCGUACAAAUUGAGGUUUUGUUGAGUGAAAAGAAAUCACAGACCUGAGAGAGAUUCAGCUGAGUACAUGUUCAGAUUUACAACACAGUAUGCAGAAUGGGGGUACAGCUUCCCUGGAACAACUCUGACUGACACAGGUAAUAUAUAAUAUAUAUAGGUAAUAUAUAAUAUCUACAGGUAAUAUAUAAUAUCUACUGGGAAUAUCUACAGGUAAUAUAUAAUAUCUAAUUCUAAUAAUUAAUUAGAAUCAUUCAGAGCUGCAGGUGAAGGUGUCUUCCUCCACAGAGGAAUAGAAGAGAACACUGACCUGUAGCACCACCUGUCUUCUGACUGACAACCUCACCUACAUCUGGUACAAGAACGGACAACAUCUCCAUGACCCUACUUCCCAACAAUACUCCUGUAAUACUCUAGUGGUCGGGUGUUACUCUACAGACAGUUACUCCUGUGCUGUAAAAGACCAUGAGGAUUUUCUCGCUCCUACAUUGUGGGUCAACAGUGGACAUUACCUGCACGUAUAGACAUCCCAGCUGGCAUAACGUCACAGAAGUAUCCUGGUUCAACAAAUGGGAGUCUGGAGUUACUGCAGAUCUAAGCCAGGACCCAGAAUAUGCAGGUAGUGUGAAGUACCAUCCAACUACACACAAGGACUCCACCCUGAGAAUCACAGACCUGAGAGAGAGUGACUCUGCUGAAUAUAAGUUUAGAUUUACAACAACGGAGGUAAAAUGGGGAAACGGCUUCCCUGGAAUAACUCUGUCACAGGUAAUACUGUCCUUACAGUAUUAUAUCAUCUAGUCAUUAUAUUAUUGGUGGAAAUAAUGAUGAUUGUGCUAUUUUGUCUUCAUUUCCCCCUUUUCAGACCUGCAGGUGAAGGAGACUCCUGGCACAGAGGAAGGGAAGGUGACACUGACCUGUAGCACCACCUGUACUCUAACUGACAACCCCACCUACAUCUGGUACAAGAACGGACAACUUCUCACCAACCCAAACACCCAAGAUAACUUCCUGAUCCUAGACCCAGUCAGCAGUGAGGAUACAGGCAGCUACUCCUGUGCUGUUGAAGACUACGAGAAUUGCCUGUUACGUUAGUCUUUGAAGAAUGAUGUUGUAGGAAUCAUAGUUGUUGUUCUGAUUCGAAUACUCUGUGUCUUUGGGUUCAGGUUAGUGAGAUGAAUUUAUCCUUUUUCAAAUUAUAUUUUAUAAUGAUCAAAAUCAUUUAUAUUGCUUGAUUGAUUGUUGAUUGAUUUAUUAAUUGAUACAUUCAUUCACAAAACAGGAAGAAGGCCUCCAAUUCCACCUCUGACACAAGAGACAGAAGAGACACAGCAGAGAACGGACAGGUGAGUCUUCUGGAAUCAGUUGACUAAGAGCUACAGUGAUCUGUAUUUAGAUGGACUCAAUGACUGUGGUAAUAUCUUUCACCCCUCAUGUUGUCUGUCUUCUCUCCCCAUCAGAGAGACUCUAAUCCAGUGUAUGACAACAUCUCAGGCAUGGCCAUGGCCCCUAUUGCAGCACAGAGAGCGAUCACAGACGAGCAGGAUGACGUUACCUACCCCAGCAUCUAACACAGAAACCAGGAAGUGCCUCUGGACUCCACCGUCCCACCGUCUCACCCCCAAAAACAGGACGAGGAUUUCCAGUACACUACUUUGAAAUUCAACAGCCCCAGUGCUGCUCAAUAGACAUUGGGAGGGAUUCAAUCCAAUCAUAGAGGGGGGAUCUUUUUUUUUUACAGCAACUUCCUUGUUGUUGUAAUAUCUCAAACGGGGAGUUUCAGCAUUAAGGAUUCCAGCUUUAAAUAACACAAUAUAACCAACUUUAUUCAUGGGGUCUUAUAGUAAAUGUACUAUAAAUCACAGUGAUUUAAACAUCCCAUCCAUACACCACACUAAACCUACACAUAGUCUGUGUCUGGAAAGGCAUCCUAUUCCCUACAUACUGUCAGGUGACAUUUCAGACACAGAUUUCCUCUUUAACUGUUAAG